This is a long non-coding RNA of Sipha flava (yellow sugarcane aphid), 467 nucleotides long. RefSeq lists it as uncharacterized. Lineage: Eukaryota; Metazoa; Arthropoda; Insecta; Hemiptera; Aphididae. The record is from RefSeq and is a predicted model, not a curated record. The transcript has 3 exons.
CGUUGGACGCUCGUCCGUAUCGGUUCAUAAACAAUGCGUGUAAACAUGUGAUGAUUGCGCUCGGCGCGAGCGAUUAUUUUCCGCGCCGAGGUAAAAAGAUUAAAAUCGUCCGUACUCGCGUGAGUACACGCAUAAAUAGAUCUUUGUGCCGGCGAAGAGAGUUGGGGUGUGGAGUUCAGCGGAACGAAAUUAAAAACAAAUAGACCUUAAGUCUUAUCGUCUACGCGAGUAAAAGAUACUUCGGAGAGAACUCGUUUGGAAGUACCUAACUUAACAAUUCCAGUAUUGUGCUGUUGACUCAAAGCUGUAUCGAAAAUAAAAGAGAAAUACACUAUUCGUCUAAAAAGUUGAAAUACCCGGUGCACCCUGCACGUUGUAUUUAAUGGGACGAUAUUCACAUGUUGUACAGGUUAUAAUAACGAAACGAUAAUAAAGCAAUAGGUUUACUUAUAUAUAUAUAUAUAUAU